This 253-nucleotide ribosomal RNA is filed under the name uncultured bacterium. RNAcentral describes it as "partial 16S ribosomal RNA". It matches the Rfam family "Bacterial small subunit ribosomal RNA", at positions 524 to 776 of the family's 1533-position model. The record is from RNAcentral.
UACGUAGGGUGCAAGCGUUAAUCGGAAUUACUGGGCGUAAAGCGUGCGCAGGCGGUUUGCUAAGACCGAUGUGAAAUCCCCGGGCUUAACCUGGGAACUGCAUUGGUGACUGGCAAGCUAGAAUGUGGCAGAGGGGGGUAGAAUUCCACGUGUAGCAGUGAAAUGCGUAGAGAUGUGGAGGAAUACCGAUGGCGAAGGCAGCCCCCUGGGCCAACACUGACGCUCAUGCACGAAAGCGUGGGGAGCAAACAGG